GCCACUGUGGCUCAGUGGAUAGAGCUUUGGCCUGUGCACUGAAAGGUCACGGGUUCAAUUCCUGGUCAAAGGUA
RNAcentral lists this transfer RNA (74 nucleotides) under Myotis brandtii (Brandt's bat). It matches the Rfam family "tRNA". Rfam says of the family: Transfer RNA (tRNA) molecules are approximately 80 nucleotides in length. Their secondary structure includes four short double-helical elements and three loops (D, anti-codon, and T loops). Further hydrogen bonds mediate the characteristic L-shaped molecular structure. tRNAs have two regions of fundamental functional importance: the anti-codon, which is responsible for specific mRNA codon recognition, and the 3' end, to which the tRNAs corresponding amino acid is attached (by aminoacyl-tRNA synthetases). tRNAs cope with the degeneracy of the genetic code in two manners: having more than one tRNA (with a specific anti-codon) for a particular amino acid; and 'wobble' base-pairing, i.e. permitting non-standard base-pairing at the 3rd anti-codon position. The record is from Rfam by way of RNAcentral. Lineage: Eukaryota; Metazoa; Chordata; Mammalia; Chiroptera; Vespertilionidae.